Molecule: ribosomal RNA, 497 nt
Filed under: uncultured bacterium
Lineage: Bacteria
Description: partial 16S ribosomal RNA
Rfam family: Bacterial small subunit ribosomal RNA
Source: RNAcentral
ACUCAAAUGAAUUGACGGGGGCCCGCACAAGCGGUGGAUGAUGUGGAUUAAUUCGAUGCAACGCGAAGAACCUUACCUGCUUUUGACAUGCCAGGAAUUGCUGAGAGAUCAGCGAGUGCCUACGGGAACCUGGACACAGGUGCUGCAUGGCUGUCGUCAGCUCGUGUCGUGAGAUGUUGGGUUAAGUCCCGCAACGAGCGCAACCCUUGCCAUUAGUUGCCAUCAUUAAGUUGGGCACUUUAAUGGGACUGCCGGUGACAAACCGGAGGAAGGUGGGGAUGACGUCAAGUCCUCAUGGCCCUUAUAGGCAGGGCUUCACACGUCAUACAAUGGUUGGUACAGAGGGAAGCGAAGCUGCGAAGUGGAGCGAAUCUCAGAAAGCCAAUCGUAGUCCGGAUUGCAGGCUGCAACUCGCCUGCAUGAAGUCGGAAUCGCUAGUAAUCGCGGAUCAGAAUGUCGCGGUGAAUACGUUCCCGGGCCUUGUACACACCGCCCGU